This 439-nucleotide ribosomal RNA is filed under the name uncultured bacterium. RNAcentral describes it as "partial 16S ribosomal RNA". It matches the Rfam family "Bacterial small subunit ribosomal RNA", at positions 339 to 795 of the family's 1533-position model. The record is from RNAcentral.
CUACGGGCGGCUCCAGUGAGGAAUAUUGCACAAUGGGGGGAACCCUGAUGCAGCAGCGCCGCGUGGAGGAUGACGCAUUUCGGUGUGUAAACUCCUUUUAUAUGUCAAGAAAAUGACGGUAGCAUAUGAAUAAGCACCGGCUAACUCCGUGCCAGCAGCCGCGGUAAUUCGGAGGGUGCAAGCGUUACUCGGAAUCACUGGGCGUAAAGGACGCGUAGGCGGGUUGGAAAGUCAGGUGUGAAAUCCUACAGCUUAACUGUAGAACUGCACUUGAAACUUCUAAUCUAGAGUAUGGGAGGGGGAGAUGGAAUUAGUGGUGUAGGGGUAAAAUCCGUAGAUAUCACUAGGAAUACCUAAAGCGAAGGCGAUCUCCUGGAACAUUACUGACGCUAAGGCGUGAAAGCGUGGGGAGCAAACAGGAUUAGAUACCCCAGUAGUC